UUACAUUUGUUUCAUCAUAAA
Molecule: non-coding RNA, 21 nt
Filed under: Caenorhabditis elegans
Lineage: Eukaryota; Metazoa; Nematoda; Chromadorea; Rhabditida; Rhabditidae
Source: RNAcentral